AAGCUUGGGGACCAACCAGGGAUUAGUACCUUGGUAGUCCACGGCCGUAACGGAUGUCGAUUAGGAUGUGGUGCCCUUGAGCCGUGGCUUCCGGAGUUAACGCGUUAAGUCGUCCGCCUGGGGAGUACGGCCGCAAGGUUAAAACUCAAAUGAAUUGACGGGGGCCCGCACAAGCGGUGGAGCAUGUGGUUUAAUUCGAUGCAACGCGAAGAACCUUACCUGGUCUUGACAUCCACAGAACUUUCCAGAGAUGGAUUGGUGCCUUCGGGAACUGUGAGACAGGUGCUGCAUGGCUGUCGUCAGCUCGUGUUGUGAAAUGUUGGGUUAAGUCCCGCAACGAGCGCAACCCUUAUCCUUUGUUGCCAGCGGUCCGGCCGGGAACUCAAAGGAGACUGCCAGUGAUAAACUGGAGGAAGGUGGGGAUGACGUCAAGUCAUCAUGGCCCUUACGACCAGGGCUACACACGUGCUCCAAUGGCGCAUACAAAGAGAAGAGACCUCGCGAGAGCAAGCGGUCUUCAUAAACUGUUUUGUAGUCCGGAUUGGAGUUUGCAAUUGCACUCCAUGAAGUGGGAUUCGUUAGUAAUCGUAGAUCAGAAUGCUACGGUGAAUAGUUUCCCGGCCUUUAACACACCGCCGGUCACACCAUGGGAGUGGGACACAAAAAAGUAGGGAGGUAACCCUUCGGGACCACCCUCCCACUUGAUCCGAUUGGG
Molecule: ribosomal RNA, 715 nt
Filed under: Enterobacter sp. enrichment culture clone SRB5
Lineage: Bacteria; Pseudomonadati; Pseudomonadota; Gammaproteobacteria; Enterobacterales; Enterobacteriaceae
Description: bacterial SSU rRNA
Rfam family: Bacterial small subunit ribosomal RNA
Source: RNAcentral